RNAcentral lists this microRNA (23 nucleotides) under Brachionus plicatilis. RNAcentral's name for it is "Bpl-Mir-1993_3p (mature (guide))". The record is from RNAcentral. Lineage: Eukaryota; Metazoa; Rotifera; Eurotatoria; Ploima; Brachionidae.
UAUUAUGCUGAAUUUUUCGAUUU